UCCAUCUUUAAUUUUCCAGGAGCCAUUUCCUCAUCAUAAAGAUGCAGUAGCCAUAAUUAUUCCAAUCAUCCAAAAGAGAAGACUUUAAAGUACAGUAGUUAGCCAUCAAAAAGAGAAGGCUAAUAUCCAGUUAUGAGAGCAUUUUCCCAAGAUUUACUUGUCCUUUUUUAUGGUGAGACAUUUAAAAUUUAUACUGUUAUUAUUUUGAAAUACUGUAUACAAGACAUUCUUCUUGACUAUAGUCAUCCCGCUAUGCAAUAGAUCUCAAGGCCCAUUUCUCCUGCCUAUCUGAAACUAUGUAACUCAUUUUCCUUCUGUUUUUGCA
Molecule: long non-coding RNA, 325 nt
Filed under: Homo sapiens (human)
Lineage: Eukaryota; Metazoa; Chordata; Mammalia; Primates; Hominidae
Description: non-protein coding lnc-LYPD6-2:6
Source: RNAcentral